This 253-nucleotide ribosomal RNA is filed under the name uncultured bacterium. Its description in RNAcentral is "partial 16S ribosomal RNA". It matches the Rfam family "Bacterial small subunit ribosomal RNA", at positions 524 to 776 of the family's 1533-position model. The record is from RNAcentral.
UACGUAGGGGGCUAGCGUUGUCCGGAAUCAUUGGGCGUAAAGCGCGUGUAGGCGGUCCGGUAAGUCCGCUGUGAAAGUCGGGGGCUCAACCCUCGGAUGCCGGUGGAUACUGUCGGGCUUGAGUACGGAAGAGGCGAGUGGAAUUCCUGGUGUAGCGGUGAAAUGCGCAGAUAUCAGGAGGAACACCAAUUGCUAAGGCAGCUCGCUGGGACGUUACUGACGCUGAGACGCGAAAGCGUGGGGAGCAAGCAGG